Molecule: ribosomal RNA, 850 nt
Filed under: Halomonas sp. JSM 077028
Lineage: Bacteria; Pseudomonadati; Pseudomonadota; Gammaproteobacteria; Oceanospirillales; Halomonadaceae
Description: bacterial SSU rRNA
Rfam family: Bacterial small subunit ribosomal RNA
Source: RNAcentral
AAGUCGAGCGGAAACGAUCCUAGCUUGCUAGGAGGCGUCGAGCGGCGGACGGGUGAGUAACGCAUAGGAAUCUGCCCGGUAGUGGGGGAUAACCUGGGGAAACCCAGGCUAAUACCGCAUACGUCCUACGGGAGAAAGCAGGGGAUCUUCGGACCUUGCGCUAUCGGAUGAGCCUAUGUCGGAUUAGCUAGUUGGUGAGGUAAUGGCUCACCAAGGCUGCGAUCCGUAGCUGGUCUGAGAGGAUGAUCAGCCACAUCGGGACUGAGACACGGCCCGAACUCCUACGGGAGGCAGCAGUGGGGAAUAUUGGACAAUGGGCGAAAGCCUGAUCCAGCCAUGCCGCGUGUGUGAAGAAGGCCUUCGGGUUGUAAAGCACUUUCAGUGAGGAAGAAGGCCUUGAGGUUAAUACCCUCGAGGAAGGACAUCACUCACAGAAGAAGCACCGGCUAACUCCGUGCCAGCAGCCGCGGUAAUACGGAGGGUGCGAGCGUUAAUCGGAAUUACUGGGCGUAAAGCGCGCGUAGGCGGCUUGAUAAGCCGGUUGUGAAAGCCCCGGGCUCAACCUGGGAACGGCAUCCGGAACUGUCAGGCUAGAGUGCAGGAGAGGAAGGUAGAAUUCCCGGUGUAGCGGUGAAAUGCGUAGAGAUCGGGAGGAAUACCAGUGGCGAAGGCGGCCUUCUGGACUGACACUGACGCUGAGGUGCGAAAGCGUGGGUAGCAAACAGGAUUAGAUACCCUGGUAGUCCACGCCGUAAACGAUGUCGACUAGCCGUUGGGCUCCUUGAGAGCUUUGUGGCGCAGUUAACGCGAUAAGUCGACCGCCUGGGGAGUACGGCCGCAAGGUUAAAAC